GAAGGUAUAGCCCAGUGGUAGAGUGCAUGCUUAGCAUGCACGAGAUCCUGGUUUCAAUCCCUAGUACCUCCA
This 72-nucleotide transfer RNA is filed under the name Camelus bactrianus (Bactrian camel). It matches the Rfam family "tRNA". Rfam says of the family: Transfer RNA (tRNA) molecules are approximately 80 nucleotides in length. The record is from Rfam by way of RNAcentral. RNAcentral also lists the same sequence under 2 other names. Lineage: Eukaryota; Metazoa; Chordata; Mammalia; Artiodactyla; Camelidae.